Molecule: long non-coding RNA, 1117 nt
Organism: Poecilia latipinna (sailfin molly)
Lineage: Eukaryota; Metazoa; Chordata; Actinopteri; Cyprinodontiformes; Poeciliidae
Exons: 4
Source: RefSeq, a predicted model, not a curated record
GGACACUCUGAGGACAAACAAGACUUUACUGGAGGAAGAAAGGCGGUUAGCUACCAGCCCCAGAGACACGAUCGGUUUAGAUAUUCAUACCAGAGCCCUUAGGUACCAGACUGCAGGUUCCCUGCUGGUUCCUAGAGGUUCUAGCAGUAGAACAGGAGGCAGAUGCUUUAGUUAAUCGGCUCCUAAACCAGAUCCCAGUUUACCGAGGCAGACGCUCGUCUACUGGUUUAGGUUAUCCUGUGCCAUCUAUCGUUAUGCUACUUCAGGCUGCAUAAUGGUCAGUUUGUUUCUCCUCGUAUUCUCCAUUCAGGGAUCAUCUGCUGUCAUUGUGGUGGGUUGCCAGGUUUUACUUGCCCCCCUGCCAGUCUAGGCGUUGCUUGUUAUUAUUUUUUAUAAUUAUUUAAAAUAAUCUCUGUAGUGCAUGCGUCUCUGCGGUGCUCAGCCUUUCACCGGCAGAGCAGAAUCAUUCCUGAAAGGUUCACAGUUGAUGGUGAAACCGCACCAACCACAGGCGUCUCUGCGCUGGCGUUUACAUCUCAACCUGCUGCCCAGCGCAUGGCUCUGUUGUGUUCCUCAGUGGUUCAGCCUGAGCUGUUGCGCUGGCCUCAUAGUCACGCUCCACAUUGUUUUGCUUUGUUUCUCUUUCUUUUUGUUUUUUGUUUUUCAGCACCACAAUGCUUCAAACUGCACCACAUCAAAUGUCAUCCCUACCUCUGGUCAGGUAGAGUUGCUCUAUGGAGAUCAGAAAAAACUUGUUCCUGGGCAACCAAAACAAAUAUUCUCUGUGCUUAUUAAAAACUCAGGAAACAUAAAGUUUGGUCCCUACUAGUGCUUCAUAAAUUAAAUCUCCUUGUUUAUUUAUUUUAAUUGUAUUUUUAUGGUUUGUGUUUUAAGACUGUAGCUGUGGAUUUAAGCGUUGUGAACGAUGUAUUCCAGAAACAUUCCUGUUAACGUAGCAUCUUUUAAUUCAAAAACAUGGUGGACUGCCUCGGCCACCGGGCUCAGCUAGUUUUCUGGGGGAAACUCUGCACUGUAACAAUUAACUUUAUGUUUCCUUUCAGUCCAAAUGCAGAUUGAACCAACUGGAUCAAGCCCAACUCUGACAGAACCGAGCCCA